GAUGAACGCUAGCUACAGGCUUAACACAUGCAAGUCGAGGGGCAGCAUGGUCUUAGCUUGCUAAGGCCGAUGGCGACCGGCGCACGGGUGAGUAACACGUAUCCAACCUGCCGUCUACUCUUGGACAGCCUUCUGAAAGGAAGAUUAAUACAAGAUGGCAUCAUGAGUUCACAUGUUCACAUGAUUAAAGGUAUUCCGGUAGACGAUGGGGAUGCGUUCCAUUAGAUAGUAGGCGGGGUAACGGCCCACCUAGUCUUCGAUGGAUAGGGGUUCUGAGAGGAAGGUCCCCCACAUUGGAACUGAGACACGGUCCAAACUCCUACGGGAGGAAGCAGUGAGGAAUAUUGGUCAAUGGGCGAGAGCCUGAACCAGCCAAGUAGCGUGAAGGAUGACUGCCCUAUGGGUUGUAAACUUCUUUUAUAAAGGAAUAAAGUCGGGUAUGUAUACCCGUUUGCAUGUACUUUAUGAAUAAGGAGCGGCUAACUCCGUG
Molecule: ribosomal RNA, 490 nt
Filed under: uncultured bacterium
Lineage: Bacteria
Description: partial 16S ribosomal RNA
Rfam family: Bacterial small subunit ribosomal RNA
Source: RNAcentral